Harpegnathos saltator (Jerdon's jumping ant) is the source of this 78-nucleotide long non-coding RNA. RefSeq lists it as uncharacterized. The transcript is spliced from 2 exons. The record is from RefSeq and is a predicted model, not a curated record. NCBI's taxonomy places the organism in Eukaryota, Metazoa, Arthropoda, Insecta, Hymenoptera, Formicidae.
CUGAACGCACGUAGUCACGUCGUAUACGAAGAUCUUAAUAUAAGGGUUAUGUGGCACAAGAAUAAUUAACUUCAGGUU